RNAcentral lists this unclassified non-coding RNA (379 nucleotides) under soil metagenome. RNAcentral describes it as "partial contains 5.8S ribosomal RNA, internal transcribed spacer 2, and large subunit ribosomal RNA". The stretch from base 1 to 120 matches the Rfam family "5.8S ribosomal RNA", at positions 35 to 154 of the family's 154-position model. The record is from RNAcentral.
GAUGAAGAACGCAGCGAAAUGCGAUAAGUAAUGUGAAUUGCAGAAUUCAGUGAAUCAUCGAAUCUUUGAACGCACCUUGCACCCUUUGGCAUUGCGAAGGGUAUGCUCGUUUGAGUGUCAUUGUACUCUCACACUUCCAAUCUUUGGAUUGGGAGCAGUGGACUUGGGUGUUGCUGCUUACUGUGGCUCACCUCAAAUCGAUUCGUGCACCUCUUGGUUGGACAUAGUACGGCGUGAUAAGUGUCUUCGCCGGCACCUCAGUAGAGGGUGGCUGAUCAGGAGCUCUGUGCUUCAAACCGUCCUCGGACAACAACUGACAACUUGACCUCAAAUCGAGUAGGACUACCCGCUGAACUUAAGCAUAUCAAUAAGCGGAGGA